This 492-nucleotide ribosomal RNA is filed under the name uncultured bacterium. RNAcentral's name for it is "partial 16S ribosomal RNA". It matches the Rfam family "Bacterial small subunit ribosomal RNA", at positions 29 to 507 of the family's 1533-position model. The record is from RNAcentral.
AGUGAACGCUGGCGGUAGGCCUAAUACAUGCAAGUCGAACGGCAGGACAGGAAGAUUGUGCCCUUACGGGUAGCGAGGGGCGGAUGGGUGAGGCAUAGAUAAGAAUCUACUUAUUCUGGGGUGAAUACGGAAAGAAACUUACGCUAAUACCGCAUACGACGUACGGGUUAAAUCAGUGGAGCUUCGCGGCUUGCCCGAUUCAAUUAGCCGACGCCGCAUUAGCUAGUUGGUGGGGUAACGUCCCACCAAGGCAACGAUGCGUAGCGGGCCUGAGAGGAUGAUCGGCCACACUGGAACUGAGACACGGUCCAGACUCCUACGGGAGGCAGCAGUAGGGAAUCUUCGACAAUGGGCGAAAGCCUGACCCAGCCAUACCGCGUGAGUGAAGAAGGCCUUCGGGUCGUAAAGCCCUUUUGUUGGGAAAGAAAAGCUGUGGAUUAAUCCCCCCCUGUUCUGACGGUACCCAAACAAAAAGCCACGGCUAACUUCGUG